UGCCAGCAGCCGCGGUAAUACGGAGGGUGCAAACGUUGCUCGGAAUCAUUGGGCGUAAAGCGCACGUAGGCGGCGAAGCAAGUUGGGUGUGAAAGCCCUGGGCUCAACCCAGGAAGUGCAUUCAAAACUGCUUCGCUUGAAUCUCGGAGGGGGUCAGAGAAUUCCCGGUGUAGAGGUGAAAUUCGUAGAUAUCGGGAGGAAUACCAGUGGCGAAGGCGCUGACCUGGACGAAGAUUGACGCUGAGGUGCGAAAGCGCGGGGAGCAAACAGGAUUAGAUACCCUGGUAGUCCGCGCUGUAAACGAUGAGUGCUAGACGGUGGAGGUAUUGACCCCUUCGCUGCCGAAGCUAACGCGUUAAGCACUCCGCCUGGGGAGUACGGUCGCAAGACUAAAACUCAAAGGAAUUGACGGGGG
This 415-nucleotide ribosomal RNA is filed under the name uncultured bacterium. RNAcentral's name for it is "bacterial SSU rRNA". It matches the Rfam family "Bacterial small subunit ribosomal RNA", at positions 506 to 919 of the family's 1533-position model. The record is from RNAcentral.